CCUACGGUGUGCAGCAGUGGGGAAUAUUGGACAAUGGGCGAAAGCCUGAUCCAGCCAUGCCGCGUGUGUGAAGAAGGCCUUCGGGUUGUAAAGCACUUUCAGUGGGGAAGAAAGCCUUGGGGCUAAUACCCUCGAGGAAGGACAUCACCCACAGAAGAAGCACCGGCUAACUCCGUGCCAGCAGCCGCGGUAAUACGGAGGGUGCGAGCGUUAAUCGGAAUUACGGGGCGGAAAGCGCGCGUAGGCGGUCUGAUAAGCCGGUUGUGAAAGCCCCGGGCUCAACCUGGGAACGGCAUCCCGAACUGUCAGGCUAGAGUGCAGGAGAGGAAGGGAGAAUUCCCGGUGUAGCGGUGAAAUGCGUAGGGUUCGGGAGGAACACCAGUGGCGAAGGCGGCCUUCUGGACUGACACUGACGCGGGGGUGCGAAAGCGUGGGUAGCAAACAGGAUUAGAUACCCGAGUAGUC
This 465-nucleotide ribosomal RNA is filed under the name Vreelandella stevensii. RNAcentral describes it as "partial 16S ribosomal RNA". It matches the Rfam family "Bacterial small subunit ribosomal RNA", at positions 338 to 795 of the family's 1533-position model. Lineage: Bacteria; Pseudomonadati; Pseudomonadota; Gammaproteobacteria; Oceanospirillales; Halomonadaceae. The record is from RNAcentral.